AACGAACGCUGGCGGCGCGUCUUAAGCAUGCAAGUCGAACGGCAAGAGAGGAGCUUGCUUCUCUCCUAGAGUGGCGGACUGGUGAGGAACACGUGGGUAAUCUACCCUUAAGAUGGGGAUAGCUGCUAGAAAUAGCAGGUAAUACCGAAUACACUCGGCAUACCACAAGAGGUGUUGAGGAAAGGAAGCUACGGCUUCGCUUGAGGAUGAGCUUGCGUCCCAUUAGCUAGUUGGUGAGGUAAAGGCCCACCAAGGCGACGAUGGGUAUCCGGCCUGAGAGGGUGAACGGACACAUUGGGACUGAGAUACGGCCCAAACUCCUACGGGAGGCAGCAGCUAAGAAUAUUCCGCAAUGGACGGAAGUCUGACGGAGCGACGCCGCGUGGAUGAAGAAGGCUGAAAAGUUGUAAAAUCCUUUUGUUGAUGAAGAAUAAGGGUGAGAGGGAAUGCUCAUCUGAUGACGGUAAUCGACGAAUAAGCCCCGGCUAAUUACGUG
Molecule: ribosomal RNA, 496 nt
Filed under: uncultured bacterium
Lineage: Bacteria
Description: partial 16S ribosomal RNA
Rfam family: Bacterial small subunit ribosomal RNA
Source: RNAcentral